RNAcentral lists this ribosomal RNA (253 nucleotides) under uncultured bacterium. RNAcentral describes it as "partial 16S ribosomal RNA". It matches the Rfam family "Bacterial small subunit ribosomal RNA", at positions 524 to 776 of the family's 1533-position model. The record is from RNAcentral.
UACGUAGGGUGCAAGCGUUGUCCGGAAUUAUUGGGCGUAAAGAGCUCGUAGGCGGUUUGUCGCGUCUCCUGUGAAAACUCGGGGCUUAACCCCGGGCCUGCAGUGGGUACGGGCAGACUAGAGUGCGGUAGGGGAGACUGGAAUUCCUGGUGUAGCGGUGAAAUGCGCAGAUAUCAGGAGGAACACCGAUGGCGAAGGCAGGUCUCUGGGCCAUAACUGACGCUGAGAAGCGAAAGCAUGGGGAGCGAACAGG